RNAcentral lists this transfer RNA (65 nucleotides) under Protostelium mycophagum. RNAcentral describes it as "tRNA-Val". The record is from RNAcentral. Lineage: Eukaryota; Evosea; Variosea; Protosteliida; Protosteliaceae.
CGGUUAGCUUUGCCCAAGCGAAUCGCCUACACCGAGAGGUUGGAUCUUACUUUUUUCUUAACCGG